UGCCUUUAUGUGUUGCCCAUUCAUCCCCUCUGUGGUGACUGGGGUGUCAACUAAGGCAAACAGUAACAGCUGUAGUUGUUUGUGAAAUGAGAUUUUCAGUUUCUCAUCUUUAAAACAGCUGCAAGGACACUG
This 132-nucleotide small nucleolar RNA is filed under the name Oryzias javanicus (javanese ricefish). RNAcentral's name for it is "Small nucleolar RNA SNORA13 (ENSOJAG00000018764.1)". It matches the Rfam family "Small nucleolar RNA SNORA13". From Rfam's summary of the family: ACA13 is a member of the H/ACA class of snoRNA that guide the sites of modification of uridines to pseudouridines. Lineage: Eukaryota; Metazoa; Chordata; Actinopteri; Beloniformes; Adrianichthyidae. The record is from Rfam by way of RNAcentral.